GGUAGGGUCGUGUCAGCAGCCGUGGGAAGACGAUCGACCCUAUCGUGGGUCGGAAGAACUGGGCAUAAAGGGCGCGUAGUCGGCGAUUCAAGUCGGGGGUGAAAUCCGGCAGCUCAACUGUCGAAGUGCCUUUGAUACUGAAUUGGUCGAGGGAGGUAGGGGUCUGUGGAACUUCUGGUGGAGCGGUGAAAUGCGUUGAUAUCAGAAGGAACGCCGGUGGCGAAAGCGACGGACUGGACCUUUUCUGACGCUGAGGCGCGAAAGCUAGGGGAGCAAACGGGAUUAGAUACCCGUGUAGUC
Molecule: ribosomal RNA, 300 nt
Filed under: uncultured Methanocaldococcus sp.
Lineage: Archaea; Methanobacteriati; Methanobacteriota; Methanococci; Methanococcales; Methanocaldococcaceae
Description: bacterial SSU rRNA
Rfam family: Bacterial small subunit ribosomal RNA
Source: RNAcentral